This 75-nucleotide transfer RNA is filed under the name Candidatus Zixiibacteriota bacterium. Its description in RNAcentral is "tRNA-Lys". It matches the Rfam family "tRNA". From Rfam's summary of the family: Transfer RNA (tRNA) molecules are approximately 80 nucleotides in length. Their secondary structure includes four short double-helical elements and three loops (D, anti-codon, and T loops). The record is from RNAcentral. Lineage: Bacteria; Pseudomonadati; Candidatus Zixiibacteriota.
ACACUCGUAGCUCAGCUAGGUUAGAGCAGCUGACUCUUAAUCAGCAGGUCACUGGUUCGAUUCCAGUCGGGUGUA